Molecule: ribosomal RNA, 253 nt
Filed under: uncultured bacterium
Lineage: Bacteria
Description: partial 16S ribosomal RNA
Rfam family: Bacterial small subunit ribosomal RNA
Source: RNAcentral
UACGUAGGGUGCGAGCGUUAAUCGGAAUUACUGGGCGUAAAGGGCGCGUAGGCGGCCAUCUAAGUCAGACGUGAAAUCCCCCGGCUUAACCUGGGAACUGCGUCUGAUACUGGAAGGCUUGAGUAUGGGAGAGGGAUGUAGAAUUCCAGGUGUAGCGGUGAAAUGCGUAGAUAUGUGGAGGAACACCAAUGGCGAAGGCAGCCUUCUGGGCCAACACUGACGCUCAUGCACGAAAGCGUGGGGAGCAAACAGG